AUGUGCCUCAUGUGUCACCUCUUCCUCCGGCACCUCUCAUUCCUUCUCAUUCACCACCGACCCCGUCUUCCCCAUCCUCCUUCUCCACCUCUCCCCCAUCCUCUCCAGUCCGUCACCCUCUCUCACCGUUUCCUUUCCACUAUACUCGUCGAUCUCGUACUGAGGAUGUCUCCUCUGACGCGCCUUCCACCUCUGGUGCACCUCCUCUCACGCCUCCCCUGGUUCACAACCUCCAUGCUAGGCCUCGCCCCCCGCCUGAUCGCUACUCCCCUGAUCGGACCUCCUGGAGCCAAUCUAUUUAUCUACCAUAUCCCACAAGAAUUUGGUGACCAAGAACUCUCCGAUGCCUUCCAGAGGUUUGGGAGAGUAAUAAGUGCCAAGGUGUUUGUUGACAAAGCAACUGGUUCCAGCAAAUGCUUCGGUUUUGUAAGCUAUGACAACCCUGUGUCCGCGCAGUCGGCCAUCGCCAUGAUGAACGGUUUCCAGCUAGGCGGCAAGAAACUCAAAAAGGUUGGCAUGUCAAUUAUUCAGAUGCCGGUGCUACCGGUUCGGAUUUGCCGACUUUUAAGUCAGAAACUUAACUCGCCUUUUUGCUAUUGGAGAUGCUCUAGCAAAUCCCAGAUGACAAAUUGUCAUGGAAGCCUUAGAUCACCUUCUUGGCUAACAUUGUGUUGCAGUAGAGCGGAAACAAGGAGGACGAUGGGGUGA
RNAcentral lists this ribosomal RNA (708 nucleotides) under Triticum aestivum (bread wheat). RNAcentral describes it as "partial small subunit ribosomal RNA". Lineage: Eukaryota; Viridiplantae; Streptophyta; Magnoliopsida; Poales; Poaceae. The record is from RNAcentral.